Equus caballus (horse) is the source of this 4486-nucleotide long non-coding RNA. The record is from Ensembl. NCBI's taxonomy places the organism in Eukaryota, Metazoa, Chordata, Mammalia, Perissodactyla, Equidae.
AGGAAAGAUGCCGAGGCUCUCGGAAGAAACCCCGCAGGCUUCAGUUAAAUGCCUGCUGGGACAUCCUACAGAUGAGCAGUUACUUAACCAGAGCAUCUUAGCUGUGUAAGCGCCUGAGCUGAGCUUCCGGAACAUGUCCUUGUCUUCUGUCUUUGGAUAAAUGUUUUUGGGAGCCAAUAUCUUUCCCACAAGGUUCAGAUUCUGCAGGACGUGACCCAUCUACGUGCUACAUCAGCCAUAAGUUUCUAAUUCCUCCAGAUGUCUCAUCACAUCUUAUUUGACAACAUUUCUAAAGCAGUGACCCUGAAAUCCCCCUGGAGCAGAGGGUGUAGUUACAAGAUUAAGGAGGGCCACCCAAUCUAGACUGAACUUCACACAGCUGAUGUCAGAGAUUGGCUUGCUGCACAAUGGGUGAAUGAAGUCACUUCAGGUUCGAUAUCACUCCUUCCUACCACAUAGCCCUUCCGCACCGGGCCUUAUGAAGAGAAACGUGUUAAUGCAUGCGGUGCACAUGAACUGACAUUCUCAGAUCGUCCACGCACUGAGGUUAUAAUUGUGGAAGCAGAGUGAAGAAAGGUAUUCUUUGAGGAAUAGGACCCCCUACUGAGUGGCUAUCAAACUGAAGAAUCUGCCUUUUGUACGAUUUCCAGCGACGGUAGAAUGCCAAUAUAUUAGUCCACAGGGGGACGUACAACUUCAGGGGAGACCAGACCCUUGUGCUCCGCCAACACACACUGUCUCUGAAGACGGGCUCCGGGGCGACGACAGCACAGCGGAGUUGGCCCAAGGCCCUCCUUCCCCUGGACUUCAUGACUGAUAACCCCACCUCUGGGGAGUCUGAUGUUCUGGUAUGACACGUAGGGACCACACUGGAAGUUACGCAGCGGAUGAUGUGUAAUUUGAUGUGAUCUAAUGGAGCGAGACAAACGUGGUUUGGGACUCUGCACGUAAGAAUGAGAAGACAGGGGAAAGAGGAGACCCCGGAAUGGCCUGCCCAAGCCCGCAUCACCAGUCCUCAGGAAGACGCUCACCUGUGGGCACAGCUGGUAGGCUCUGGGUCAACGAGCUGGGCCUGCUGGGACCUCAGGGGCCAUUGCUAGAGCUGUAAGAGCCUGAAUGGAAUGUGCUUGUCAGCGGCCCUUGUCAAGAGGGCUGCCAAGCCCUUGCUGGCGACAAUGAAUGGAUGUAUCUCUGAAAAGGUGAUGAAAACAGAUCAGUGACCAGAAUGUGAGUGGAACACUGGAGAGGUAGUCUCAGAGAAUGAUUCUGACUACAAGAUGUUACUUAAAACCACAGAAAUCUUGCCCAGACCCUCUUCAUGCUAAAGUUGAAUUUCCCAGCCUGUAAAGAAGUCUGGUUUCAGGAAAAGGUUCUAAAACGACUUCAUAGAGCAUGGACCCCAGAGACAGCUCAGUAGGGGCAGCAGCAGUCCAACGAAGACUCGCUCACUUGUAGAGCAUCGACUACGCACCAGGCACUGUGUAGGGGCUUUACAGACAUAUUUUUUCCAGACUAUUAGUCCUCCCUUUUGUAAAACAACAAAAAAACAACAAAAACCCUUUUCCUUUAGGCUGUGACCACCUGCAGCAGGCGGGAGAGGGAUGACUAAUAUAAUCAAAUGGAACUCUCUUCCAUGGCCCCAUGCUGACCCUUGUCAUCACUGAAACCGCUCCUUCUUCUGAAUCAGUGACCUCAGUAUGUCCGUCUCCCACCGUCUCCUCCUGCCAGUCCUUCCAAGUUGCUUAUCCACCACUCCUGCAGCCACGUUCUAACCUCGUCAGCACCUGCAGUCCACUGAACCUCCUAUUCACCCCAUCAUAUAUAUGCCUUCCCCUAUCCUCACUUGCUUUUUAUGCAUCGUAGAAUCCCUGGUCCAUCAUCAGGCCCUGCAUUCCUGCAUCUGCUGAGUUUUAGUGGCACAAUGCUGCUGGAGGAAGUCACACACCAGAGAGCUGCGUCUCACUCUGAAUUCACUGAUUCCUCUCAAUAAUUAGAUAUUACCUCUUAAAUAGUUCUCAAAUUACUCGUCUCUUUCCAUUUUCACCAUUACCACUGUUAAAAAUGAUUAAAGACGACAAUUUAGGCGAUACAAACAAACUUUAUUUAACACAAAGCAUUAAAGCUCAUGAAGUGAGUAGUCUCUAUUCCUAAGGGUCCAGAGAACUGCAAAAUGGCUGGAAGCCAGGAAGCUUUUAUGGGAUAAAGAAGAAGGAACAAGGAAGAGAAAAACAGAGAGUGAAUAGGGAACAAGGAAGUUGGUACAGAGCCCAGAGCUGGCUUCGUAUUGUUACCGAAACCGAAGUGGGUUCCUUCCUGGUGAGUUAAAUCAGACUCUCCACCAGAAGGAGUUGUCUCACAGUAAAGUAUAUUUGUGGCAAAUAGGAGACCACGAGGAAUCAUUUCCAGAGUUCCGGCGUCCCCGAAGAAAGGGAAGCAGGGACAUUUAUUUCGGAUGGGGAAUGAAUAUUCAAAAGGGAGAGAUGGGUAUUCGCUUGCGCAGGCUCAGUUAGAAGACAUUCUUCCACACACACUGCGGGUUACAGUGAUAAGGCCUAAGCUCCUCCUGGAGAGAUCUUAGCAUUAAAAAUAAGGCAAAGGUCAUAGGUGUAGCUCUUGUGGUGAGGCUUGGUCUGGUUCAGGGAGGGUGGUGAUGACAUCUCCUUAACAGAACAAAAGGAAAACGAACAAUUUGAAAAAGCAGUUAAAAUAUCCGCCCCACCCUUGAGUUCCUUGGGGUAACUAGCUGGUGACUGUUUGGGGGCUGGCUGAGUGGACACACUGCGUUUCUGGUCAAGAAGAACAUUCAGAGGAAUGUGAAAGUCUUCUAAAUUUCAUUUUGCUGACGUGGCUUUCUGGGCUGGAGUGGCUCCAUUCUAGGCCUAGAAAUGCAUUCCAGGAUCGCUUUAAUCCAACCUGCCGUCAUCUCUGUCUGAGACUCAUAACAGCUUGUGCAGGUUGGCCUGCAGUCACUCAUCAUCUCCCUCCCACCCCGUCGUCCCCCAUGGGUUGCAGUCAGGAUUCUGACUUUAAAAUGCAAAUGUGCAUGUUACUGCCCACUCUCCCUCAGCCUCCUAUCGUUCUUAGGAUAAUGACAAAAACUGAACUUGGCCAACAAGACUCUACGGGGCAGGUCCCCCAAUGCACUUCCCCUGCUCUUCCUGCUCCAGCCACAUGGGCCCCCGCAGCCUUUCCCAUGCUCCCUCCUUCACGCUUCCACUGAGCCCCUUGUAUGCUACUCCCUCUGAUGAGAACACUCACCAUCCUACCCUCCACGCCCAGUCACCUCCUUGUCUUCACAUCUCCCCUCCAUCAUCGCCUCCACAGAGCAGCCCAGCCUUCUCUGACCCCCUGAGGUCCGAUCUGCCUGUCAGAUGCUCUUAGAGCUCAAGGUCACAGUUCCAUUUUUAACUUACAGGCUUAUGUGAUGGAUGUCUUUCCCAGCAGACUGAAAGCUCAAAACAAAAACAGUCUAGCGUGCUUUUGUUUAUCAUUGUAUCCUUAGCACCCAGCAUAGUCACAUGUAGGCACUCAAUCAUUUGUUCAAUGAAAGUUGAAUGAAUGAUGUUUAAUUUUCACAAUCACCUGGAAAGGAAGCUAUUAUCCCCAUUUUACAAGUGAGAAAAAUGAAGAAGCUCAGGAAAGGUAAAUUACUUAAGUUGUAGAUAAUCAGAGACUCACCUAGUUUGUCUGAUUAUAAAGCUCACGUUCUUUUCUCUGUACUCAAUUUCUCAUGAUACUCAAAUGUCACAAAAUAUUCUACGCUAAAACUACAAAAGGUGGGGUCAGAGACAGCAUGGUGCUAAAUGAAGGUGAGAAGAGAGUCCUGUGGGAUGCUUGGCUCUCAAAACUGCACCCAAGGCACCUCUACUGAAAAACCUUUGGGCCAGUCCAGUGGCGCCACGGUUAAGUUCUUGUGCUCUGCUUUGGUGGCCCGGGGUUCGCUGGUUAGGAUCCCAGGCAUGGACCUAUGUAUUGCUUAUCAAGCCAUGCUCUGAUCUUACUCAGGGCUAAUCUUCCUCAAAAAAAAAAAAAAACCUCUUUACCACCCAAAAAGCAAUUGAUCUAUAUCAAAAGCAUGAUAUUAAUAACUUCUCAAUAUCAGUAACUCUUCAUCUAGUAAUUCUGUUUCUAGCAAUUUUAAGAAAAUUUUGAGAGGUACACAAGAAUUUAUGCACAGGAUGUUCAUCACAGUAAUAUGUUCAAACACAUAACUGUUAAAUUACAAUACAUCCUUAUAAUGAAUUUUUUAUGCAGAUGCUAAAUACAUAGUUUUAAAGAAUACUUAAAUGACAUGAGAAAAUGGUUAAAUAUAACACUCAGUGAAUGAAAGCGAGGUAGACUAAUAAAAGGACACUAGUAUGACCCCAAUUUUGGUGGCAUGUGUUUCUAUCUGUUCACUGUGAAGAAAAAUAAAUAGAAAUAUAGCAAUAUGUUAACUGGUUAUCUCUGAAUGGAGGAAAAAAUGUUAUUAAAAAGCAAUUGACCA